AGCUAAUACCGGAUAAUAUUUUGAACCGCAUGGUUCAAAAGUGAAAGACGGUCUUGCUGUCACUUAUAGAUGGAUCCGCGCUGCAUUAGCUAGUUGGUAAGGUAACGGCUUACCAAGGCAACGAUGCAUAGCCGACCUGAGAGGGUGAUCGGCCACACUGGAACUGAGACACGGUCCAGACUCCUACGGGAGGCAGCAGUAGGGAAUCUUCCGCAAUGGGCGAAAGCCUGACGGAGCAACGCCGCGUGAGUGAUGAAGGUCUUCGGAUCGUAAAACUCUGUUAUUAGGGAAGAACAUAUGUGUAAGUAACUGUGCACAUCUUGACGGUACCUAAUCAGAAAGCCACGGCUAACUACGUGCCAGCAGCCGCGGUAAUACGUAGGUGGCAAGCGUUAUCCGGAAUUAUUGGGCGUAAAGCGCGCGUAGGCGGUUUUUUAAGUCUGAUGUGAAAGCCCACGGCUCAACCGUGGAGGGUCAUUGGAAACUGGAAAACUUGAGUGCAGAAGAGGAAAGUGGAAUUCCAUGUGUAGCGGUGAAAUGCGCAGAGAUAUGGAGGAACACCAGUGGCGAAGGCGACUUUCUGGUCUGUAACUGACGCUGAUGUGCGAAAGCGUGGGGAUCAAACAGGAUUAGAUACCCUGGUAGUCCACGCCGUAAACGAUGAGUGCUAAGUGUUAGGGGGUUUCCGCCCCUUAGUGCUGCAGCUAACGCAUUAAGCACUCCGCCUGGGGAGUACGACCGCAAGGUUGAAACUCAAAGGAAUUGACGGGGACCCGCACAAGCGGUGGAGCAUGCGGCUUAAUUCGAAGCAACGCGAAGAACCUUACCAAAUCUUGACAUCCUUUGACAACUCUAGAGAUAGAGCCUUCCCCUUCGGGGGACAAAGUGACAGGUGGUGCAUGGUUGUCGUCAGCUCGUGUCGUGAGAUGUUGGGUUAAGUCCCGCAACGAGCGCAACCCUUAAGCUUAGUUGCCAUCAUUAAGUUGGGCACUCUAAGUUGACUGCCGGUGACAAACCGGAGGAAGGUGGGGAUGACGUCAAAUCAUCAUGCCCCUUAUGAUUUGGGCUACACACGUGCUACAAUGGACAAUACAAAGGGCAGCGAAACCGCGAGGUCAAGCAAAUCCCAUAAAGUUGUUCUCAGUUCGGAUUGUAGUCUGCAACUCGACUACAUGAAGCUGGAAUCGCUAGUAAUCGUAGAUCGGCAUGCUACGGUGAAUACGUUCCCGGGUCUUGUACACACCGCCCGUCACACCACGAGAGUUUGUAACACCCGAAGCCGGUGGAGUAACCUUUUAGGAGCUAGCCGUCGAAGGUGGGACAAAUGAUUGGGGUGAAGUCGUAACAAGGUAGCCGUAUCGGAAGGUGCGGCUGGAUCACCU
This 1382-nucleotide ribosomal RNA is filed under the name Staphylococcus aureus. RNAcentral describes it as "bacterial SSU rRNA". It matches the Rfam family "Bacterial small subunit ribosomal RNA", at positions 161 to 1528 of the family's 1533-position model. The record is from RNAcentral. Lineage: Bacteria; Bacillati; Bacillota; Bacilli; Caryophanales; Staphylococcaceae.